AACAUCUUGGCAUCUGCUGCCAUGACUAUUGCUUUAAGUGUGGGAUUUGCAGUAAACCGAUGGGUGAGCUUCUGGAUCAGAUCUUUAUUCACCGUGACACUAUCCACUGUGGGAAAUGCUAUGAGAAGCUCUUCUAGGCUCAAGCAAAGAGGAUUGACCAGUCGGCUUCCUGAUGAGUGGAGAUGGCCUGAUGCGAUAGGCACAGACAAGAGCAUGGGGUUCAGUGUAUCCUGCCUCUUGGGACAGAGAGCAAAUCACAUCCCGGUUCACAGCUCUGCGUGUACCUUUGGGAGACCCCCUGAAGCUUCUGAGGGUCCAGGUUAAAGACUGUUGACGAUCCCUGGUGGGUAAAUUGCAGACAUUGAAUGCUGGGGAUUGACAUAGGCUAAUGUUUAGCUCGCCUGUUUGCCAUUUAUAUUUUUUAAACUUUCCAUAUACUUUUACAACUAGUUAGUUGCUUUUGAUUGAGUUACACAGCAGAUUUUAAUUACCUCCUCCCACCUACCUUUCAGUGUAGUUGCGUUUCUUCCUGCAGGCAUGUGCGCAUGUAUUAGAAAGUUUACACAUGAGGUUUAAAUUCUAUAGGAUGUGAUUCUUAAGAAGCUACUGACCAAAGGGACAUCUGUGUCUGAACCUUGAUAGCUAAUUCGUACAUUUGCCUUCAACUUCCGACCCUUAAACUUUACCCAGAAGUCCCCUAAAGCAGGUUUUAGAGUAUAUAGACUCCGGCAGGAUUACCAAGGGAGAAAAUCAGCUAACAUUUCUUGAGACCUUGCUACAUACCAGGCAUUAUCACAAGGUGGUGGCAUUAAUCCCGUGCUCAUCUUGUCCAGAGGGUAUUCUUCUCCCCAGUCUGCAAAUGAGGACGUUGAGGCUCAGCGAGGUGGUCAUUGCAUUGUGCAGAACCAUUGCUGUCUCUCCAGAGCCCAUGCUCUCUCCAGGAACAGGAACCACAAACAUGAGCAUCGAUUUAAUGUUGAGUAUAUGCCAAGCACUGUGUGGAGGUUACCUAAUCCUCCCAGGUAACACCACACCCCUCAGGCCUUCCCUGAGGCACACUUUUACAAAGAGGGGAAGGUGGGAACUGGCCCUCCUACUCGGGGCAUUCUGGGUCCCCAUCAAAUAACAGAAGGGCCAAACUGGCUCCCCUCACCUCCCUUUUCCAUGAAAAUGCUUCUGAACUUCAAUCCUCUUGGCUGGGAAGAGAUUUAACUCACAGACCUUCCCAAAGAAGGGCUUGUCAACCCAGGGGAAGCUGCAGUGGGUUAGCGGAUCUGAGCACAGGGCCCUCAGUGACCUCCCGUCUUCUAGUCCAGACUCUGUCCCAAGCUAGUGGCAACUACUGAGACCCCAGGUACUUGGAACAGGGACACCCGGUGGCCAGCUGGGCAGAUGCAGGCCCAUUCAUGCAGUCAGCUGCUGCUCCGCUCAGGUUUGACUGGGUUCCUCGGCCUUUGGGACCCGCGUCACUGUGCAAGUUCCUUGAGAAGACAACCUGACGGUUUUUCUGUUGACAGAUGAGGGCCUUUUCUCUUGGUUUAAUAGAAAAUGUCUCCCCGUCUCUCUCCAGUUUCUGAGCCCUGUGCACAUUGGCUGGUGGACUUGUUCUUCCCGCCAAAUGAUCAGAGAGGAACGUCCCAUUUAUUUGCAUAGAUGUGCACCAGGUUUGCUCUGGAGGGGAAAGGUGGCCGUGUACUUACACAAAAUAUGAGCUGGUUUUCCUCAAGGCUAGCCCUCACCCUGGGACUUGGCACAUGGUAGGGACUGACACAUAGGUGUUGAAUGAAUGAGUGAAAGGGAAAGAAAGGUCGUGCCUUUGAGUGGGACAGGCCACCCCUGAGUUUUGGCAGGAUAAAGAGGUCCAAGACAGGCUGGCUUUCCCACCUUCAAGAGUCACUCUGCC
Molecule: long non-coding RNA, 1903 nt
Organism: Hippopotamus amphibius kiboko
Lineage: Eukaryota; Metazoa; Chordata; Mammalia; Artiodactyla; Hippopotamidae
Exons: 3
Source: RefSeq, a predicted model, not a curated record